AAAUUUGCGGAUAAAUUUUAUCCAUGCCCAAAUAAUCCACGGGUAUAAUGAUUCGCCUGCGAGUUAUCCAAUCCGCCCGUUUGUCAUGUCUAAUUCUUAUCCGUCGUUCCUUUGGACAUAUUUUUUCUUUUCAAGUUAUUUUAGUAGUUGAGUGGAAAAUAUUUUUAAAGAACCUAUUUGUUAGCUCUUAGGGUGUGUUUGGUUCGAAGUUGGAGUCCGAAUCAGAAUUGGAAUCAAAAUAAGCUGGAAUCGGAAUCGGAAUCGAAAUGACUCAUUACCUAAUUCUGUUUGGUUCAUUACCUGAAUCGGAAUCGGAAUAAAUCAUUCCCAUUGUCGGUAUUUGGUUCAGGUGGAUAUAAAAAACGUAAUCAAAUUAAUAUACUAACAUUAUCUUUAUAAUAUAUUAAUUUAAAUUCAAAUUAAAAAUUAAAUAUUAAAAAUUUACAUCAAAAUUUUGAAAUAAUGUCAAAAUUUUAAAUCUAUUUUUUUUUAAAAAAAUUAAAUUUUGAAGUUGAGUGGAUAAUUCAAAAUAUAAAACUAAAUUUUGAUUUAUUCAAAUUCAAACUUAAAAUUACAAUUUAAAUUUUAAUUUGAAUCCAUAAAUUUAAUUUAAGUUUGAAAUAAAAUUUGAAUAAAACUUUAUAUAAAUUAAAAUUUAAUUUACAUUCAAAUUCAUAAGUUAAAUUCGAAAUACUUGAUUAAAUUUUAAUUUUUAAUUUAAGUUUAAAUUAAAAUUUUAAAAUUAUAUAUUAAAAUUUUAAAUUUUAAAUAAUUAAAAAAGUUGAAAAAAUAAAUUUAAUUCGAAUAAAUAUUCAUUCCGUCCGGAUUCAACUUUCAAUCCGGCCUCCUAGACCGGAUUGAAAAAAAGGUGAUUAAGAAAUUCUCAUUCCACUCGGGAAUCGGAAUCGGAAUGGGACUCCCGCAUACCAAACACCCACAAAUGAAUUUAUCCAUUCCGAUUCCAAUUCCAGGAUAAAAAAGAAGCAAAUCAAACACGCCCUUAAUUAGAUGAUGAAUUAUAUUGGAAUCUUGCAUAUAAAG
RNAcentral lists this long non-coding RNA (1041 nucleotides) under Ananas comosus (pineapple). Its description in RNAcentral is "long non-coding RNA (ACOM_LNC011563)". The record is from RNAcentral. Lineage: Eukaryota; Viridiplantae; Streptophyta; Magnoliopsida; Poales; Bromeliaceae.